Non-coding RNA from Monodelphis domestica (gray short-tailed opossum), 430 nucleotides. The record is from RefSeq and is a predicted model, not a curated record. NCBI's taxonomy places the organism in Eukaryota, Metazoa, Chordata, Mammalia, Didelphimorphia, Didelphidae.
CUGGGCUCCAGUUCGAUCCUGGAACUCAAGUCUGGAGGAGCUCCCUCAGACAUCUUCCUUGAGAAGGUCAUGUGAAUUGCUGAAGUCCAGUAGUAAUAACAAAAAGAAGAUGACUGGUGAUGGCUUGGGAUGCAGUGGAAGAUUGAAAAAUACUAUGAAAAUGCUGCCAGGACCCACUAGCCAUGAAGUCCUUCAAAUACCAGUUAUAGAUUGAUGGCUAAAUUCGGAGAGAUUCUUCAUUCAAGGGCUGGCCAUAAGAUGAUUGAUUUUGAGGGACAUAACUCACAGAGACUAUCUAUUAAUAAAAGGGUUACAUCCUAUAUUGAUGCCUCCACUGAUAAAAUCACAGACUCUGAAGUAAGUUAGGGAAGUCCUGACAGAGAAGUGAUAAGAUCUAAAUGAGUGAGGAGAAAAAUAAAUAUAAUUAAAA